This 845-nucleotide long non-coding RNA is filed under the name Oryzias javanicus (javanese ricefish). RNAcentral describes it as "lncRNA (ENSOJAG00000004288.1)". The record is from RNAcentral. Lineage: Eukaryota; Metazoa; Chordata; Actinopteri; Beloniformes; Adrianichthyidae.
CGGCUCCUCUCUAAUAAGCCCAGGAUUGUUCACAAAAACAGGAGGGGGAAAAAAUCUGAUAGAAAUGCGUUUGUAAGGCCGGGCGGCGAGUAUUUGCAUGGCGAUGAAGGCCGGGAGUGUUCUGCAGUGACUGAGAUGCGAGUCUCAGACAAUACAUGCUGUGUUUGUUCUUCCCGGGGAAGUUUGACGAGGAAAGGAGAAGGAGGAGAAGGAGGAGGAUUGGGCUCCUUCACACCCAGCGGGGAUCUCUCUCGUGACUUGGCGGACGCAGAAUCUCAAACAGUAACUGGCAUGUAUGACAUCCUACCAGGAAGGAUUACACAACUACCAAGAUCAUGGGUUCUUAUGGUGGCAAAUGAAGAAUUAGCCAAAAUGGGGAAAGGACACUAGAAUCUCCUGCCCACUGGCAAAAAUGCACACAAAAAUACCCUGUGGACAAUAAAAAUGGCCACCCCUAGAGUUUUAGCGAUAGUGACGGUCUUCUCCAUGAUUCUCGGCGGCAUCCCGAGUGACAUUAAAGGCUCUCGGGGUUUGGAGACGCAGCAUUUGGCCCAGAAGUCUACUUAUCCUCAGCGUCGCCUGAAAAGAAGCUGGAUAUGGACACAGUUGUUUGUCCCUGAGGAAGAUCCCUCUCUUGGUGUUAUUGGACAGAUCAGGUCCGACUCUGACCGAGGCGAUUUAUCCAUCAAGUACAUAUUGACAGGAGAAGGUGCCGGAGAUGUCUUUGAGAUAGAUGAGUUUUCUGGUGAGAUCAAUAUACGUCCUUCAACUGUUUCUCAAGGUAUCAACAGACAAAGACAUAGUGAGCUUUGAGGAUGAGUUUUCCCUGAAAAAGCUCGAACGUU